RNAcentral lists this ribosomal RNA (451 nucleotides) under Amazonian soil bacterium M49. RNAcentral's name for it is "partial 16S ribosomal RNA". The record is from RNAcentral.
CACGGGUUCGGGUGUUACCGACUUUCAUGACGUGACGGGCGGUGUGUACAAGGCCCGGGAACGUAUUCACCGCAGCGUUGCUGAUCUGCGAUUACUANCGACUCCGACUUCACGGGGUCGAGUUGCAGACCCCGAUCCGAACUGAGACCGGCUUUAAGGGAUUCGCUCCACCUCACGGUAUCGCAGCCCUCUGUACCGGCCAUUGUANCAUGUGUGAAGCCCUGGACAUAAGGGGCAUGAUGACUUGACGUCGUCCCCACCUUCCUCCGAGUUGACCCCGGCAGUCUCCUGCGANUCCCCGCCAUUACGCGCUGGCAACACAGGACAAGGGUUGCGCUCGUUGCGGGACUUAACCCAACAUCUCACGACACGAGCUGACGACAGCCAUGCACCACCUGUAUACCGACCACAANGGGGCACCUAUCUCUANGUGUUUCCGGUAUAUGUCAAA